RNAcentral lists this ribosomal RNA (253 nucleotides) under uncultured bacterium. Its description in RNAcentral is "partial 16S ribosomal RNA". It matches the Rfam family "Bacterial small subunit ribosomal RNA", at positions 524 to 776 of the family's 1533-position model. The record is from RNAcentral.
UACGUAGGGGGCAAGCGUUGUCCGGAUUCAUUGGGCGUAAAGAGCGUGUAGGCGGCCAGGUAGGUCGGUUGGGAAAACUGGAGGCUCAACCUUCAGAGGUCGACCGAAACCAUCUGGCUAGAGUCCGGGAGAGGAGAGUGGAAUUCCUGGUGUAGCGGUGAAAUGCGCAGAUAUCAGGAAGAACACCCGCGGCGAAAGCGGCUCUCUGGAACGGUACUGACGCUGAGACGCGAAAGCGUGGGGAGCGAACAGG